RNAcentral lists this small RNA (227 nucleotides) under Cricetulus griseus (Chinese hamster). RNAcentral's name for it is "7SK RNA (ENSCGRG00001004295.1)". It matches the Rfam family "7SK RNA", at positions 1 to 232 of the family's 331-position model. Rfam says of the family: 7SK was discovered as an abundant small nuclear RNA in the mid-70s but a possible function has only recently been suggested. Lineage: Eukaryota; Metazoa; Chordata; Mammalia; Rodentia; Cricetidae. The record is from RNAcentral.
GAAUGUGAGGGCAACUUGGUUACAGUAUCAACCACCCCACUGGUCACCAGAGUUGAUCUGCAUGUUAUAGAUAGCUAGACAGUUGUCACUUCCUCCCUCGGUGCUUCAUAUACACCUCACCAAAACCGUAUGUUUUGUAGCAGAGGAAAUCCUUCCUAGAAAAAGGAGGGACACUCUUGGACCAAGAGUUACUGAGCAACUGUCCUCUGCAAAAAUCUCCANNNNNN